Molecule: ribosomal RNA, 620 nt
Filed under: uncultured Nostocoides sp.
Lineage: Bacteria; Bacillati; Actinomycetota; Actinomycetes; Micrococcales; Intrasporangiaceae
Description: bacterial SSU rRNA
Rfam family: Bacterial small subunit ribosomal RNA
Source: RNAcentral
UUUCAGCGCCGAAGAAGCGAAAGUGACGGUAGGCGCAGAAGAAGCACCGGCUAACUACGUGCCAGCAGCCGCGGUAAUACGUAGGGUGCGAGCGUUGUCCGGAAUUAUUGGGCGUAAAGAGCUUGUAGGCGGUUUGUCGCGUCUGCUGUGAAAACCCAGGGCUUAACCCUGGGCCUGCAGUGGGUACGGGCAGACUAGAGUGUGGUAGGGGAGACUGGAAUUCCUGGUGUAGCGGUGAAAUGCGCAGAUAUCAGGAGGAACACCGAUGGCGAAGGCAGGUCUCUGGGCCACUACUGACGCUGAGAAGCGAAAGCAUGGGGAGCGAACAGGAUUAGAUACCCUGGUAGUCCAUGCCGUAAACGUUGGGCGCUAGGUGUGGGACUCAUUCCACGAGUUCCGUGCCGCAGCUAACGCAUUAAGCGCCCCGCCUGGGGAGUACGGCCGCAAGGCUAAAACUCAAAGGAAUUGACGGGGGCCCGCACAAGCGGCGGAGCAUGCGGAUUAAUUCGAUGCAACGCGAAGAACCUUACCAAGGCUUGACAUAUACCGGAAACAUCUGGAGACAGGUGCCCCGCAAGGUCGGUAUACAGGUGGUGCAUGGUUGUCGUCAGCUCGUGUCG